UACGUAGGCAGCGAGCGUUGUUCGGAGUUACUGGGCGUAAAGAGUGCGUAGGCGGUUUUCUAAGUUUGGUGUGAAAUCUCCCGGCUCAACUGGGAGGGUGCGCCGAAGACUGGAAGGCUUGAGUAUGGGAGAGGUAAGCGGAAUUCCUGGUGUAGCGGUGAAAUGCGUAGAUAUCAGGAGGAACACCUGCGGUGUAGACGGCUUACUGGACCAUAACUGACGCUGAGGCACGAAAGCAUGGGUAGCAAACAGG
Molecule: ribosomal RNA, 253 nt
Filed under: uncultured bacterium
Lineage: Bacteria
Description: partial 16S ribosomal RNA
Rfam family: Bacterial small subunit ribosomal RNA
Source: RNAcentral